RNAcentral lists this ribosomal RNA (465 nucleotides) under Vreelandella stevensii. RNAcentral's name for it is "partial 16S ribosomal RNA". It matches the Rfam family "Bacterial small subunit ribosomal RNA", at positions 338 to 795 of the family's 1533-position model. Lineage: Bacteria; Pseudomonadati; Pseudomonadota; Gammaproteobacteria; Oceanospirillales; Halomonadaceae. The record is from RNAcentral.
CCUACGGGGGGCAGCAGUGGGGAAUAUUGGACAAUGGGGGGAACCCUGAUCCAGUCAUGCCGCGUGUGUGAAGAAGGCCCUCGGGUUGUAAAGCACUUUCAGUGAGGAAGAACGCCUGGUGGUUAAUACCCAUCAGGAAAGACAUCACUCACAGAAGAAGCACCGGCUAACUCCGUGCCAGCAGCCGCGGUAAUACGGAGGGUGCGAGCGUUAAUCGGAAUUACUGGGCGUAAAGCGCGCGUAGGUGGCUUGAUAAGCCGGUUGUGAAAGCCCCGGGCUCAACCUGGGAACGGCAUCCGGAACUGUCAAGCUAGAGUGCAGGAGAGGAAGGUAGAAUUCCCGGUGUAGCGGUGAAAUGCGUAGAGAUCGGGAGGAAUACCAGUGGCGAAGGCGGCCUUCUGGACUGACACUGACACUGAGGUGCGAAAGCGUGGGUAGCAAACAGGAUUAGAUACCCUGGUAGUC